Molecule: ribosomal RNA, 254 nt
Filed under: uncultured bacterium
Lineage: Bacteria
Description: partial 16S ribosomal RNA
Rfam family: Bacterial small subunit ribosomal RNA
Source: RNAcentral
UACGUAGGGGGGCAAGCGUUGUCCGGAUUUAUUGGGCGUAAAGAGCGUGUAGGCGGCCUUACAGGUCAGCUGUGAAAGUCACAGGCUCAACCUGUGAAUGCCGCUGGAAACUGUCUGGCUUGAGUCCGGAAGGGGCGAGUGGAAUUCCUGGUGUAGCGGUGAAAUGCGCAGAUAUCAGGAGGAACACCAAUGGCGAAGGCAGCUCGCUGGAACGGUACUGACGCUGAGGCGCGAAAGCGUGGGGAGCGAACAGG